CAUAACCAACAGGAAGAGCACACGAUGGGCUAGAGAGGGGGUGGGGGAGGGGGGCUAACUGGAAAACGUUAUCAAAUAGGCACCAUGGGGUCCCUAUUGGUUAAAUAGACCCUAUCUCCAAUCCUCUCCUGCCCCCCAGCUUCGGUGUGAACUCGAAGUCAGGUGUGACCAGAAGUCAGUGUGAACGGGAGGGCACCUCAGCUCUCCCUUGGAGGUGACAAUGGCUUAAGGCAUUACUCUCUCUGGACCUCUUUGAAGCCCCCAAAGACUAGGAGAUCCCAAACAGAUGUGUCUCUAUAGGAUCUGAGGUGCCCUCAUGGGCAGGGAGACAAAGCACCCAUUUGUAGGGAGAGCCGAGCUCCAAGGGAGGCUGCCCAGGAUCUAUUUGUGGCCUCAGCAUUGCCAGAUGGUGCAUUUUAAAUACAGCUCCCUUCCUCUCACACCAGCCUUUCUGGGUCUCCCAGAGCUGCUCUUACCCCACCCCCACCCCCACCCCCACACGGGUUAUGGGGAGACUGUUCACGGACAGGGCCUCAUACCCACCUCAGCAGAUCCGGGGACAUGUGACCAAACAAUCCCAAGCCAGGGCUGCUCUUAUAGAACCUUUAUUGAUGUGGCAUUCUUCAGAUCAAGGCCAUUUAAUCGGGACAUACUGAAAAUAGUAAAAGCCAAUGGGCAUUGAGGGUUUAAUAUAUGCCAGAUUUGGUGUUAAGUGUUUUAUUUUGUCCUUGAAACAGCACUGUGAGGGAGGUAAAUACUAUUAUCACCCUCCUUUUAUGACUGAGAAAACUGCAGGCUUGGAGAGAUUGAGUCACUUGACCUCCAUGUCACAGAGUCAGCAGCAAGGCCAGGACCUGAGUUGGUCUAAUUCCAAAGCUUCUCCUGCUAGGCUCUCCAGUGUACCCCAAAGAUCUUUUUCUGGAAGGUUCUAAACCUCCCUUGCAUUCAGUCCGAGGUAAAAUAGCAGAAAAGCUUUGCCCAUGGCAGAGGGAAGCUGGAAGGCACAGCAGCGGGAAACGCCCAGCAAACGGAAGAUGGCUGCUGUGGGGAAUGGUCCAGAACUUCAAAACUUUCAGCAGACCCUGCCCUUCAUGCAUAGUCUUGACCCCGAGCAGCAUCCCCUCUAGGCUGCGGAUCCAAUGGCGGGCCUCCCGUGGGAGCAGGAGCGCGAUUGCCUCCCUCAAAGAUUUCCAGCCACGUGUCCAGCCUGUCCUCUCCCUUCAUCUUUCCGGUGGGCCCCCUUCCUUCCUCCCCUCUGCUAGUCCUGAAGGACAGGGCUCUGCUCCGUGACACCCCUCUGCAUCUAUUCCUUCAUCUGGUUUGUAAAACCAGCAAAGUCCUCCCACCCCAGACAGUAGCAGUGUGAAUUAAACACAGUACGAAAAGGAGUGACCCGCCCUAGCACAGAGCAGGUGAUCAGAAAAUGUUGGUGAACUUGUCCCACUCACUUUCUUUCCUUCUUUUGGUGGUGGACCACACUGGCGCUUUGUUUGUUUUUUUGUUUUGUUUUGUUUUUUAGGGCUGUAUGCAAGGCAUAGAGAAGUUCCCAGACUAGGGGUUGAAUUGGACCUGCAGCUGCCAGCCUACACCACAGCCACAGCAAAGCUGGAUCCUUAGCCCACUGAGCGAGGCCAGGGAUCAAACCUGCAUCCUCAUGGAUGCUAGUUGGGUUCAUUACUGCUGAGCCACAAUGGGAACUCCCACACUGGUAGUAAGUUAUUCACCCCCAGGCUUCCCCAGUCAGUCCUGCCAUGUGUGAGUCAUGGACAAAGCGAUUAACCACGACCAACUUCCUUUUGUAACUGAUGAGCCAUGCCAUCUGGGGGCUAAACUGUUGGAACACACAUGCUGUAAAUAGGUAAACAUUUUAACUAUCUUCUGAAAUAAUUUCAGAUUUUGGAAGGUAACCCCUAAGGCUCCAACUUCCUCAGACACCGCUGGGAAGGGCGAUGACCUAAUUCAGCCUUGCCAGGAGCUGCCUCAGAGCUGCAGUCUGCAUGUCCGGAAAGGGUCCUUCUGGGCUAGGUGGGACCAGCUCUCAUGCCUCCCUGCUGCCUCCUCAGGUGUCAGGCGGGCCUGCCGUCCAUCUCCCCCAGAGACUUCUCAGCCUCUUCAUCGUUGUCAUUGAUGGCAAGAAACUGGGUAUCCCAAAGGUGAUGGCCCUGGUGUUGGGCCAGUCUCUGGAGACUGAGAUGACCCAGAAGAAGGGGACUUGCCAUGUCAACCACACAGAGCAGAAGGAGGCUGAGACCUGGGGGUGGGCCAGGGGAGGGACUUCCAUGUGCCCAGCUGGGGAGGGUUCUGGCCGGCUGAGAACGAACUCAAGGAGAAAGCUCUGCAAAGGAGGUGGCGCUGAUUUUGUUUGUUUGGAUCAUCUGCACGAGUCAGAUGUCUGUUUCUGAUGAGGGACUGAGAUUUCGGCUGGCUUGGAGGGCAUGCCAACAACAGGGAUGCAAGCGUUUUGCAAACUGUGCUCCAAAGAGCACAUCUACCCACAAUUCCGAGUUCCCCUGCAGCAAUGCCCCCAUCACUAAUUUUCAGCUCUUGCUAGCAUGGCUGAGGGGUGGGGGCUGGGGGGCGGUGCAGGAGUGACCCACUUUGGGUUCUAAUCUACCGAGGCUAAAGCUCGCCAAGGACAGAGCUAGAGCUAAGAGAAGAAAGUUGUCCAGGCUCAGAUUAGGAAUCCCAAUUCCAGGGUGAGACUGCUUCAGGACACAAAGCCUGCAGAGGGCCGUCCAGGGCAUGGGACCCCUCAUCUUGCAUCCUGAGCUCUGCCCUGAGUCCUGUCCAGAGCCGUAUGCAUUAGCAUAACCUGAAACACAACUGCACCCGCUCUGUGCCUGGGGCUGGACAGAGCAGCACAGAGAGAGAGGUCACUGACCCUGAAAGGCAAUCCCCCCUAAAACAAAUGCCUCUCACUGUCCAGGGCCUGCAGCUCUCCAGGACCCCCAGAGAUCACCCCUAGCCACUCAGCAACACCCCCCCCCAAAUGCUUUCCCUCUCCCUGCCACAUCCGUGUCACUCCUUUGAAGCUCUGCUCCUAUUCCACGAUCAUCCCAGAUCUCAAUAGGCUUUCCUCCCAUGUCCUUCCUUCCUUCCAAAUGAGAAGCAGGUAUAAAUGCUGGGUACUCAUUUUUCAAAGCCAGCAGGAAGGUGGGGUGCGGGCCUGAGAGGAUUGGUGAGAGAGAGAGAUGGCAUGACAGGGCUGGAACUUGAUGUUCUAACUCGGGGGGCAGGGGAGGGAGGAGGAGUCCUGGGCUAUAAGGUUGAGGCAAUGGAGAUGUGGGGCUGGGGUCUCUGCAUGUUCCCCAGGGCAGGGCACUGCCCUGCAGGCUGCUCGGAAGCUCCAUGCCUGGAGUGCAGUUACCAGCUUGCUCUCCUUGACACUUAGCACCAACUUGGGAAUGUCUUUCAUCUUUCUCAUUACACUUCAUGGCAAAUAUGUGUGUAUGUUGUAUUAUGCGUGCAUUUGUGUGUGUGUGUGUGUGUGUGUGUGUGUGUAUCCGUUCAAUGAAAACUUAUCCUCC
RNAcentral lists this long non-coding RNA (3527 nucleotides) under Sus scrofa (pig). Its description in RNAcentral is "lncRNA (ENSSSCG00000062278.1)". Lineage: Eukaryota; Metazoa; Chordata; Mammalia; Artiodactyla; Suidae. The record is from RNAcentral.